This 62-nucleotide transfer RNA is filed under the name Haemaphysalis bispinosa. RNAcentral describes it as "tRNA-Met". Lineage: Eukaryota; Metazoa; Arthropoda; Arachnida; Ixodida; Ixodidae. The record is from RNAcentral.
AAUAAAGUAAGCUAAGAUAAGCUAGUGGGUUCAUACCCCAAAAAUGAUUAACUCCUUUAUUA